ACUAAAUAGAUACCCCGGUAGUCCACGCCCUAAACGAUGUCAACUGGUUGUCGGGCCUCAUGGCUGGUAAACGUAAGCUAAACGCGUGAAAGUGACCGCCUGGGGAGUACGGUCGCAAGAUUAAAACUACAAAGGAAUUGACGGGGACCCGGCACAAGCGGGUGGGAUGAUGUGGAUUAAUUCGAUGCAACGCGAAAAACCUUAACCUACCCUUGACAUGUAUGGAACCCUGCCGAGAGGUGGGGGUGCCCGAAAGGGAGCCAUAACACAGGUGCUGCAUGGCUGUCGUCAGCUCGUGUCGUGAGAUGUUGGGUUAAGUCCCGCAACGAGCGCAACCCUUGUCCCUAGUUGCUACGCAAGAGCACUCCAGGGGAGACUGCCGGUGACAAACCGGGAGGAAGGUGGGGAUGACGUCAAGUCCUCAUGGCCCUUAUGGGGUAGGGCUUCACA
RNAcentral lists this ribosomal RNA (450 nucleotides) under uncultured bacterium. RNAcentral's name for it is "bacterial SSU rRNA". It matches the Rfam family "Bacterial small subunit ribosomal RNA", at positions 772 to 1220 of the family's 1533-position model. The record is from RNAcentral.